Long non-coding RNA from Cotesia glomerata, 929 nucleotides. RefSeq lists it as uncharacterized. The transcript is spliced from 3 exons. Lineage: Eukaryota; Metazoa; Arthropoda; Insecta; Hymenoptera; Braconidae. The record is from RefSeq and is a predicted model, not a curated record.
ACUGAAGAAAGUUAAGGAGAAAUAAAAAAAUCUACAGGAUGUAUUAUACAGUACACAAUAUAAAAUAUUUUUCUCUCAAGAAUCGAACUCAUGGGUCACAGGUCAAUUGACCGACGGACUCGAAUAAACGAAAUGGCAACGUCGCACUGCAUAUCGAUAUGAGAUGCCUUCAAUGCUAUUUUCAAUUCCUAUAUGUGUAACAAUCGAUAUCGCUGGUGUACUUAUAUUAUAUCGGCUACCCUUACAAGAUAAUUCAAAUUAAUUAUUCUAUAAAUAUAAUAAUUAUCGCUGACAAAAAAAAGAAGAAAUAAUUAUCUAGAAAAUAUUGAGUCUUGAGUUAUAAAGUUGGCCCAAUAGUUUCUCAGUAUUUGGAUGUGCAGAGGAGAGUGCAGCCGAUCAUUGGUUAGGUGUGGCUUGGCACGCUAUUCCUCUAUUAUCUGCCGUCUAACGAGUAAUAUAAAACGAAUAAAUCUAAAUAAUGAUGAUGACUGCGACAGACAUAAGUAUACAUGCUCAUUCCAACUCUGAUGUGAUAUGAUAUAAAUGAAGUCAUAUAAUAUGUAUGUACACCUAUUAUAUCUCCAAGUUGAGCGUUGAACCACGCCAGAGAAUUAUUGACUGGUUAUAACUAGAGAGCCAUUGCAGCCUCUUCGUAUCGGUGCUAUGCUAAAAAGUGCUUGAUCUCCAUUUCAUAGUGCUACUAUUAUAUACCAGAAUCGAGCUGUAUCGUCUAUGUACAUAUAAAGUAAAUAUUGAGUUAUAUUAUAUAUGACAAUAAUACGUACACAGGAUACACAAUAGGACUGUACAGAGAUGCUGAUGAGAGGCGUCAGGCCAACAGUACAGAUAGAUUGUAAUACAAUGCGUCGCGUUAAUUAUAACCCUGUUAAUGUAUGCUGAUAAUCCAUCCAGUUGUUUCUCUACUUAUU